AUAAACUAGUUGAACCGUGUACGGGGGUCUAAUAAAGCAAAGAAAACUCACCCCUGACUACUAACGCUCACUUCGAUCAUCAAUACUUACCUAACUGCAACUAUAAUUUUUCUGGUUCUGUCCGUCCGUCCAAGGGUUUUAGCAUUGAAUUGUUUUAGCCCUCAGCAUUGAGAGCACUUUGGAAAUGGUUUUUUAUUUAAUAACUAUCAUCAAGACGUAGAAAUUUAGAUAAUCAAGGUGGUGUUAUGAAUAUUGCAAAUAUUUCUAUUUUGUACGUCUUGGCAGCUUUGAAAAUAGUAGGUAAAUUGGAGGCGAAAAUGACUAUGACGUGUUUGCAAAAAAUGGUUAAAGGAUCCCCCACACCAACGCAGUACGGGGAUAAUGGGAAACCUGGAGUCAUUUUAUAAUUGACAUUCAAAUGAAUUAUUUCUCGUCUGACGAAGAAGAAGCACUUCUUUUAGUUGCCGUAGCAGAAAAAAACAGCAUCCAGCGCAUUCUAAAGGUCUGGAGAAUCUAAAGAAGCAGAAUACUAAUUCUUCCAAGAAUUUGAUGAAUCCAGAGAACCUGAAAAAUCGGAAAAUAUUAAAGAAACGAAAGAAAAAAAGAAUCUAAAACUCUAAAGGUAAGGUAUUUUUUCGAGAAGGAUUUAC
This is a long non-coding RNA of Photinus pyralis (common eastern firefly), 650 nucleotides long. RefSeq lists it as uncharacterized. The record is from RefSeq and is a predicted model, not a curated record. The transcript has 3 exons. NCBI's taxonomy places the organism in Eukaryota, Metazoa, Arthropoda, Insecta, Coleoptera, Lampyridae.